Molecule: ribosomal RNA, 31 nt
Filed under: Tripodanthus acutifolius
Lineage: Eukaryota; Viridiplantae; Streptophyta; Magnoliopsida; Santalales; Loranthaceae
Description: partial 28S ribosomal RNA
Source: RNAcentral
GCGGGGCUACCCGCUGAGUUUAAGCAUAUCA